UGGGGAAUAUUGGACAAUGGGCGCAAGCCUGAUCCAGCCAUGCCGCGUGAGUGAUGAAGGCCCUAGGGGUGUAAAGCUCUUUCACCGGUGAAGAUAAUGACGGUAACCGGAGAAGAAGCCCCGGCUAACUUCGUGCCAGCAGCCGCGGUAAUACGAAGGGGGCUAGCGUUGUUCGGAUUUACUGGGCGUAAAGCGCACGUAGGCGGACUUUUAAGUCAGGGGUGAAAUCCCGGGGCUCAACCCCGGAACUGCCUUUGAUACUGGAAGUCUGGAGUAUGGUAGAGGUGAGUGGAAUUCCGAGUGUAGAAGUGAAAUUCGUAGAUAUUCGGAGGAACACCAGUGGCGAAGGCGGCUCACUGGACCAUUACUGACGCUGAGGUGCGAAAGCGUGGGGAGCAAACAGG
RNAcentral lists this ribosomal RNA (404 nucleotides) under Actinomycetes bacterium. Its description in RNAcentral is "Actinobacteria bacterium partial 16S ribosomal RNA". It matches the Rfam family "Bacterial small subunit ribosomal RNA", at positions 355 to 776 of the family's 1533-position model. Lineage: Bacteria; Bacillati; Actinomycetota; Actinomycetes. The record is from RNAcentral.